This 75-nucleotide transfer RNA is filed under the name Clostridia bacterium. RNAcentral describes it as "tRNA-Ile". It matches the Rfam family "tRNA". Rfam says of the family: Transfer RNA (tRNA) molecules are approximately 80 nucleotides in length. Their secondary structure includes four short double-helical elements and three loops (D, anti-codon, and T loops). Lineage: Bacteria; Bacillati; Bacillota; Clostridia. The record is from RNAcentral.
GAGGGUAUAACUCAGUUGGUUUAGAGUAACACGCUGAUACCGUGUAAGUCAUAGGUUCAAGUCCUAUUACCCUCA